Molecule: ribosomal RNA, 515 nt
Filed under: uncultured bacterium
Lineage: Bacteria
Description: partial 16S ribosomal RNA
Rfam family: Bacterial small subunit ribosomal RNA
Source: RNAcentral
GAUGAACGCUGGCGGCGUGCCUAAUACAUGCAAGUCGAGCGAAUGGAUUAAGAGCUUGCUCUUAUGGAGUUAGCGGCGGACGGGUGAGUAACACGUGGGUAACCUGCCCAUAAGACUGGGAUAACUCCGGGAAACCGGGGCUAAUACCGGAUAACAUUUUGAACCGCAUGGUUCGAAAUUGAAAGGCGGCUUCGGCUGUCCCUUAUGGAUGGACCCGCGUCGCAUUAGCUAGUUGGUGAGGUAACGGCUCACCAAGGCAACGAUGCGUAGCCGACCUGAGAGGGUGAUCGGCCACACUGGGACUGAGACACGGCCCAGACUCCUACGGGAGGCAGCAGUAGGGAAUCUUCCGCAAUGGACGAAAGUCUGACGGAGCAACGCCGCGUGAGUGAUGAAGGCUUUCGGGUCGAAAAACUCUGUUGUUAGGGAAGAACAAGUGCUAGUUGAAUAAGCUGGCACCUUGACGGUACCUAACCAGAAAGCCACGGCUAACUACGUGCCAGCAGCCGCCGUAA